UCAAAAACAUGUCUUUUUGAAAAUAAUUUAAAGUCUAAUCUGCCCACUGAUGAAAAUUAAAGGGCUGCAGUAUAUUGACUGUACAAAGGUAGCAUAAUCAUUAGUCUUUUAAUUGAAGACUUGUAUGAAAGAUUUAAUGAAAUAUAAACUGUCUCUUAUUUAAAAAUAGAAUUUAAUUUUUUAGUUAAAAAGCUAAAAUAAAUUUAAAAGACGAGAAGACCCUAUAGAGUUUUAUAAUUAAAUUAUUUAAGAUUUUUUAUAUAAUUUAUAGUUAAAAAUAAUUUAAUUAUUAUAUUGGGGUGAUAAAAAAAUUAAAAUAACUUUUUUUUUAUAAUAACAUAAAUAAGUGAAAAGUUGAUCCAUUAAUAAUGAUUAAAAGAAAAAAUUACCUUAGGGAUAACAGCGUAAUUUUUUUUUUUAGUACAAAUAAAAAAAAGAGAUUGCGACCUCGAUGUUGGAUUAAGAUAAAAUUUAGAUGCAAAAGUUUAAAAUUUUGAUCUGUUCGAUCAUUAAAAUCUUACAU
RNAcentral lists this ribosomal RNA (523 nucleotides) under Euploea core. Its description in RNAcentral is "partial 16S ribosomal RNA". The record is from RNAcentral. Lineage: Eukaryota; Metazoa; Arthropoda; Insecta; Lepidoptera; Nymphalidae.